AGGGCAGUAGCUCAACUGGUAGAGCGGCGGUCUCCAAAACCGCAGGUCGUGGGUUCAAGUCCUACCUGCCCUGCCA
This 76-nucleotide transfer RNA is filed under the name Hydrocarboniphaga effusa. RNAcentral's name for it is "tRNA-Trp". It matches the Rfam family "tRNA". Rfam says of the family: Transfer RNA (tRNA) molecules are approximately 80 nucleotides in length. Their secondary structure includes four short double-helical elements and three loops (D, anti-codon, and T loops). Lineage: Bacteria; Pseudomonadati; Pseudomonadota; Gammaproteobacteria; Nevskiales; Nevskiaceae. RNAcentral also lists the same sequence under 2 other names. The record is from RNAcentral.